CCAAUCUGGCUGAUGAUGAGAGUACAGGGGACCUGUUCAGGAGCCACCCCAAAGAAAGAGAACAUUGGGAGAAGACACACGACACCAUUUGGCACUGGAGGUAUGUGACACCAUUAUGAGCCAUGCCAAGGAGAGGUUUUCUUUCACCAAGCACCUCGUCAGCGCCACUCUGUUGCAAGGAGACUUGUUCCAACAACACAGCAAGAAGUUCCCAGAUUCAGCACUUAAAACAGAAUCGUCCCUGAUCUACGAGAACGAGGAGUUCCAGAGUUGCAGUGGUGCACUGGCUCUCUAUCAGGUUUUGAUGGAAAACAACCUUCAAGACACAGUCACCGAAACUGUAAGUCUUCUGAACAUCCUCAUCACCACACCAAUGACAACAUCAGAAUCGGAGAGGUGCUUCUCUACUU
Thalassophryne amazonica is the source of this 410-nucleotide long non-coding RNA. RefSeq lists it as uncharacterized. The transcript has 2 exons. The record is from RefSeq and is a predicted model, not a curated record. Lineage: Eukaryota; Metazoa; Chordata; Actinopteri; Batrachoidiformes; Batrachoididae.